Molecule: RNA transcript, 1470 nt
Organism: Zea mays
Lineage: Eukaryota; Viridiplantae; Streptophyta; Magnoliopsida; Poales; Poaceae
Gene name: mps one binder kinase activator-like 1A
Exons: 8
Source: RefSeq, marked validated
AGAGAAAAAGGGGGCAGCUGCCAGCCUCGCGAAAGGAGGAGUGGAGGUUGAGAUGAACGUCUCUCGCCAAAACUCCAUCUAAAAUAGCAGCGACGAGACGAGCGAGAAUAUCUGCCAAUUCAAAACCAAAAAGGAGAGGAGGGGAGCCCCGGACGGAGAAGAGAACAGAAGAAACCCCGCGGCCACCCCUUCCUGCCUAUAUUUCUCUCUCUGUCUUGCGCGACAGGGAGAGACCAGCGCCAACACCUCCGGUUUCUUGAUUGGGUGGUGAUCGGUGAAGGAAGGAGAAAUUAAGAUGAGCCUCUUCGGGCUUGGGAGCAAGAAUCAGAAGACGUUCAGGCCUAAGAAGAAUGCACCGUCUGGCAACAAGGGUGUGCAGCUGAAGAAACACAUCGAUGCAACCUUAGGAAGCGGGAAUUUGAGGGAUGCUGUCCGAUUGCCACCAGGGGAGGAUCUCAAUGAAUGGCUAGCUGUUAACACUGUUGAUUUCUUCAACCAGGUGAACAUCCUGUAUGGUACUCUAAUGGAGUUCUGCACACCAGCUACAUGCCCAACAAUGUCAGCUGGACCAAAGUUUGAGUAUAGAUGGGCCGAUGGGGUGCAGAUCAAGAAACCAAUUGAGGUUUCAGCACCAAAGUAUGUUGAGUACUUGAUGGAUUGGAUCGAAGCUCAGCUUGAUGACGAAUCCAUCUUCCCUCAGAAACUCGGAACCCCUUUUCCACAAAAUUUCAAGGAAGUUGUGAAGACAAUCUUUAAGCGACUUUUCCGUGUUUAUGCUCAUAUUUACCACUCACAUUUUCAAAAGAUUGUCAGCCUUAAGGAGGAAGCACAUCUUAACACUUGCUUCAAGCAUUUUACAUUGUUCACUUGGGAAUUCACGUUGAUUGACAAGGCUGAGCUUGCACCACUUAUUGAUCUAAUUGAAUCCAUUGUUUCAGUUUGUUGACAUGACAUCAAUGAUUAUUUGGAUCAUUUUCUUAUUUUUGGAGAGCAAGGAGUUACAACUAAGUGUCCAGUAUGAGGGUGUGUUUCCAUAGGGAUAAACAAAACAAGAUUGCGAGAACAAAGUGGUGGAAACUGAAAGGAGAUACAUCAAAAGUCUCAAGAAAAGGGCCAUCAAAGAAGACACUUGGAAGGAAGAAGAUGACAUAAACAACAUGUGGAAGAAGAUGGCACCCUAUAUUUGCGAGGUGUGUGGAGCAACUAAAGGGAGUGGAUGCGAAGCUAAAGGUACUUGGUAGUGGAAGUACAUGGAUGAUUUGAUACUUGUCAAUACAGUGUAUUAGCGCAACAGUGUUUUUCAGCCUCUCGCAAUAGGGUACAGUGCGGGGGUAUUUAUAGGUAACCAGGGGACGAUUUCACCCUCUCAAAUACAGUUAUGCCCCUGGUUACCUACGUUAUCCCUGAAAUAUUCCCCUCUCAAGGGUUAUUACAAGUCAUUACAACAUGAUUAGGUAUUUCACGGACGGA